RNAcentral lists this small nuclear RNA (165 nucleotides) under Zostera marina. Its description in RNAcentral is "U1 spliceosomal RNA". It matches the Rfam family "U1 spliceosomal RNA". From Rfam's summary of the family: U1 is a small nuclear RNA (snRNA) component of the spliceosome (involved in pre-mRNA splicing). Its 5' end forms complementary base pairs with the 5' splice junction, thus defining the 5' donor site of an intron. The record is from Rfam by way of RNAcentral. Lineage: Eukaryota; Viridiplantae; Streptophyta; Magnoliopsida; Alismatales; Zosteraceae.
AUACUUACCUGGACGGUGUCUAUGGCUGAUCAAGAAGGGUCGUGGCCUAAGUUGAUGAUCUUAAUUGCACCUAGGAAGGUUAUCAACUUAUCCACUCCCCAUGUGGGAGUCGCACGUCAUAAUUUGUUUCUUGGGGGUACGUGUUCGGUAUUCGCACCGCUCCUG